GUGGGGAAUAUUGGACAAUGGGCGCAAGCCUGAUCCAGCCAUAUCGCGUGGGUGAAGAAGGCCUUCGGGUUGUAAAGCCCUUUUGUUGGGAAAGAAAUCCUGUCGGUUAAUACCUGGCGGGGAUGACGGUACCCAAAGAAUAAGCACCGGCUAACUUCGUGCCAGCAGCCGCGGUAAUACGAAGGGUGCAAGCGUUACUCGGAAUUACUGGGCGUAAAGCGUGCGUAGGUGGUGGUUUAAGUCCGUUGUGAAAGCCCUGGGCUCAACCUGGGAAUUGCAGUGGAUACUGGAUCACUAGAGUGUGGUAGAGGGAUGCGGAAUUUCUGGUGUAGCAGUGAAAUGCGUAGAGAUCAGAAGGAACAUCCGUGGCGAAGGCGGCAUCCUGGGCCAACACUGACACUGAGGCACGAAAGCGUGGGGAGCAAACAGGAUUAGAAACCCUAGUAGUCC
This 450-nucleotide ribosomal RNA is filed under the name uncultured bacterium. RNAcentral describes it as "partial 16S ribosomal RNA". It matches the Rfam family "Bacterial small subunit ribosomal RNA", at positions 354 to 796 of the family's 1533-position model. The record is from RNAcentral.